Molecule: ribosomal RNA, 497 nt
Filed under: uncultured bacterium
Lineage: Bacteria
Description: partial 16S ribosomal RNA
Rfam family: Bacterial small subunit ribosomal RNA
Source: RNAcentral
ACUCAAAUGAAUUGACGGGGGCCCGCACAAGCGGUGGAGCAUGUGGUUCAAUUCGACGCAACGCGAAGAACCUUACCCAGGCUUGAACAGCGAGUGACCAUCUCCGAAAGGGGACUUCCGCAAGGACACUCGUAGAGGUGCUGCAUGGCUGUCGUCAGCUCGUGUCGUGAGAUGUUGGGUUAAGUCCCGCAACGAGCGCAACCCUUGUCUGCUGUUGCCAUCACGUUAUGGUGGGCACUCUGCAGAGACUGCCGGUGAUAAACCGGAGGAAGGUGGGGAUGACGUCAAGUCAGCAUGGCCUUUAUGUCUGGGGCUACACACGUGCUACAAUGGCCGGCACAAACCGUCGCGAUACCGCAAGGUGGAGCUAAUCGGAUAAAGUCGGUCUCAGUUCGGAUAGCAGGCUGCAACUCGCCUGCUUGAAGUUGGAAUCGCUAGUAAUCGCGGAUCAGCACGCCGCGGUGAAUACGUUCCCGGGCCUUGCACACACCGCCCGU